GUGCUCACUUCAGCAGCACAUAUGCUAAAAUUGGAAUGAUACAAAAAGAUUAACAUGGCCCCUGCACAAGGAUGAAAUGCACACUCGUGAAGCGUUCCAUAUCUUU
RNAcentral lists this small nuclear RNA (106 nucleotides) under Dasypus novemcinctus (nine-banded armadillo). Lineage: Eukaryota; Metazoa; Chordata; Mammalia; Cingulata; Dasypodidae. The record is from RNAcentral.